GACGAACGCUGGCGGCGUGCCUAGUACAUGCAAGUCGAACGCAUUUUCUUUCACCGUAGCUUGCUACACCGAAAGAAAAUGAGUGGCGAACGGGUGAGUAACACGUGGGUAACCUGCCCAUCAGCGGGGGAUAACACUUGGAAACAGGUGCUAAUACCGAAUAAUUCCAUUUACUGCAUGGUAGAUGGAUGAAAGGCGCUUUUGCGUCACUGAUGGAUGGACCCGCGGUGCAUUAGCUAGUUGGUGGGGUAACGGCCUACCAAGGCUGCGAUGCAUAGCCGACCUGAGAUGGUGAUCGGCCACACUGGGACUGAGACACGGCCCAGACUCCUACGGGAGGCAGCAGUAGGGAAUCUUCGGCGAUGGACGCAAGUCUGACCGAGCAACGCCGCGUGAGUGAAGAAGGUUUUCGGAUCGUAAAACUCUGUUGUUAGAAAAGAACAAGGAUGAGAGUGGAAAGUUCAUCCCUUGACGGUAUCUAACCAGAAAGCCACGGCUAACUACGUG
Molecule: ribosomal RNA, 507 nt
Filed under: uncultured bacterium
Lineage: Bacteria
Description: partial 16S ribosomal RNA
Rfam family: Bacterial small subunit ribosomal RNA
Source: RNAcentral